UCUAGAUGCUUUGUUGUUCAGCAAGCUGGGUACUUACUAAUUCUUCUUUCACUUAUAGGAGCCUGGGGGAACUCCAAAACUUUUAUUGAUGUUUGAUUGCACCAAGUGCUCGGCCCGGAUUGCGGUGAAAACUGACGAAGAACGCAGAACCUUUUGCGUUGCAUCUGGUGCUACACGAGCUUUUUGAACCCGGAAUGGCAUGAAUGAGGAGGAAUAUAUUGAGUCAUUGUAUAAAGAGGCUAUGCAAAGGAGAUCUCUAGACAACAGUGCUGGUGGCCGAUACUUGGGUUUGGUACUGCAGAGGGACAUAUGGGUUAAAAUACUUGUCGAUUCUCAUGAGGAACAAGGAAAAUGCACGGAUGGUUUUGUACAGUGUUCAGGAAAGGAUUGAAGAACUCGAUGAAAAGAUUCCUUUCGAUCAGCUUCCACCUAAGAAUAAGUGGAGAAAUGAGAUAAUUAUGGAGAAGUUCAUGUCCGAGCUUGAGGCUUUAGUCAAGGAAAAUUACCCAGAGAAAUUAAAGGUGACUAAGUAUUAACAAUGAAGAUUUAAGAGGAUGACGGAGAAGUGUCUGAGUGAAGACAUAAAUGCUCAUUCUUAUAGCAGGGAGUUCUUCAACUUGUGUUUUUAUCGUAUUUCAUCGAGAGAGCAAGGGGAUUGUUCUUUGUUUAUGGUGACUCUUUUUCUGUAGAUUUAGAAUUUAGUAGUGGGAUGAAUAUUUUAGGGCAUGUGUCCGAGUAUUAUGCCUGGUAUAAUAAUGACAUAAGUUAGAAAAUCCAAGAAUGUAACAUGAGUUAGCAGCAAGAACUCAAAUUUAGAGACCAAAUUUAAUGGACUUUUAGUUCAGGAAUCAAAAUUUCAAUUUGGUGAUAAUUCAGGAACUAUUGCCAAUUUCCUCUUUAGGUUAAGACUAGAUAUGUUGAAGCUUCUGCCUUUCUAGUUUCUACGAUGAUAAAAAUUCCCUUCCUUCGCCCUUAACACGUGGGAGCACCUAUGCCAAGAGGUAGUGAAAGGCAAAUCCAUCAAUUUAGUGUUCGACAAAAAAAAAAAAAAAAAAAAAAAAAAAAAGAGAAAAGAAAAAGAGGAUUAAGUAGAAAAAUGAAGGGCCUUUCCAUGAAAUCAAUGUUAAUUAAAAGUGUUUUUAACUCAGUUUGGGUGCCACAUCUAUCUAUAAAUUAAGAGAGAAAACCUUGUAAUGAAACCAUAAAUUUAUAGAACUGUGUCAUUUAAAAACUUUAGCUGCCUAGAGAGAAAAGCAAAUAAAAUCUUCCCCUGCCUUUUGUCUUGGGGUCUACAGCAACCAUUCUUAGUGUCUUUUCUAUUCCUACUUUUACUUUCGUGCAAAUUGUUGCUGUAAAAUGCCGUAGUCAUCGAGAUAGUAGUUAUCUUUUGGCUCACACACACAUUCCACACAAGAUUUUGGCCCCAGUUGUCACUUUCGAUGGAGUUGAAAAACUCAUGGCACAAUCUCUUGGUUAGUGUCUCAC
This is a long non-coding RNA of Pyrus x bretschneideri (Chinese white pear), 1485 nucleotides long. RefSeq lists it as uncharacterized. The transcript is spliced from 5 exons. Lineage: Eukaryota; Viridiplantae; Streptophyta; Magnoliopsida; Rosales; Rosaceae. The record is from RefSeq and is a predicted model, not a curated record.